This 471-nucleotide ribosomal RNA is filed under the name uncultured bacterium. Its description in RNAcentral is "bacterial SSU rRNA". It matches the Rfam family "Bacterial small subunit ribosomal RNA", at positions 28 to 503 of the family's 1533-position model. The record is from RNAcentral.
GACGAACGCUGGCGGCGUGCUUAACACAUGCAAGUCGAGCGGUAAGGCCCUUUCGGGGGUACACGAGCGGCGAACGGGUGAGUAACACGUGGGUGACCUGCCCUCAGCUCUGGGAUAAGCCUGGGAAACCGGGUCUAAUACUGGAUAUGACUCCAUGACGCAUGUUGUGGGGUGGAAAGCCUUGUGCGGCUGAGGAUGGGCCCGCGGCCUAUCAGCUUGUUGGUGGGGUGAUGGCCUACCAAGGCGACGACGGGUAGCCGGCCUGAGAGGGCGACCGGCCACACUGGGACUGGGACACGGCCCAGACUCCUACGGGAGGCAGCAGUGGGGAAUCUUGCGCAAUGGGCGAAAGCCUGACGCAGCGACGCCGCGUGGGGAUGAAGGUCUUCGGAUUGUAAACCCCUUUCGGGAGGGAAGGAUGGAACGAGCAAUCGUUCGGACGGUACCUCCAGAAGCAGCCACGGCUAACUU